CCAAAGGCUCUUUUCAGAGCCACCUACUUUCUCUUAAGAAGAGCUG
This is a non-coding RNA of Opisthocomus hoazin, 46 nucleotides long. The record is from Rfam. NCBI's taxonomy places the organism in Eukaryota, Metazoa, Chordata, Aves, Opisthocomiformes, Opisthocomidae.